CAGAAAGCUUGGAAUGUAGAGCUCAGCAUUCCAGGUACCAUGUAAUCAAACCAUUUAGAAUUUUACAGGGUUCCCACUUCACUGUAAACUGGAGAAGAGUUCAAGCAGAGCUCAAGGGACAUGUAAGCAAAAUUCUAUUACAUACAAGAGUGGAUUUAGUCCUCAGACCUGGCUCUGUCACUUAGAAGUAGCAUUGCAAUCUUCACUCAUCAAAUCACUUUGCAGGUAUAAACUUGGAUUUUCUUUAGCAGUCUUUUUCACUAGCUGAGCUUCUACUCAUAAUCUUUUUCUUAAUAGUAAAAGAAAAAAAAAAUCCAGUACUAAAAUUAAUAAUGA
Molecule: long non-coding RNA, 336 nt
Filed under: Parus major (Great Tit)
Lineage: Eukaryota; Metazoa; Chordata; Aves; Passeriformes; Paridae
Description: lncRNA (ENSPMJG00000002103.1)
Source: RNAcentral